RNAcentral lists this ribosomal RNA (468 nucleotides) under uncultured bacterium. RNAcentral's name for it is "partial 16S ribosomal RNA". It matches the Rfam family "Bacterial small subunit ribosomal RNA", at positions 28 to 507 of the family's 1533-position model. The record is from RNAcentral.
GACGAACGCUGGCGGCGUGCUUAACACAUGCAAGUCGAACGGAAAGGCCCUGCUUUUGUGGGGUGCUCGAGUGGCGAACGGGUGAGUAACACGUGAGUAACCUGCCCUUGACUUUGGGAUAACUUCAGGAAACUGGGGCUAAUACCGGAUAGGAGCUCCUGCUGCAUGGUGUGGGUUGGAAAGUUUCGGCGGUUGGGGAUGGACUCGCGGCUUAUCAGCUUGUUUGUGGGGUAGUGGCUUACCAAGGCUUUGACGGGUAGCCGGCCUGAGAGGGUGACCGGCCACAUUGGGACUGAGAUACGGCCCAGACUCCUACGGGAGGCAGCAGUGGGGAAUAUUGCACAAUGGGCGGAAGCCUGAUGCAGCAACGCCGCGUGCGGGAUGACGGCCUUCGGGUUGUAAACCGCUUUCGCCUGUGACGAAGCGUGAGUGACGGUAAUGGGUAAAGAAGCACCGGCUAACUACGUG